UCAGCGACGUCUGGUGAGUAUUMCCUAAGAAUUACCCUGCCAGWGCCUGCCAACGGUUCGGAAGGGACGGUAAUGCGGGAUACGUCCUACGGGAGAAAGCAGGGGACUUCGGGCCUUGUGUUAUCAGUUGAGCCUAGGUCGGAUUAGCUAGUUGGUGAGGUAWUGGCUCACCAAGGCGACGAUCCGUAACUGGKCUGAGAGGAUGAUCAGUCACACUGGAACUGAGACACGGUCCAGACUCCUACGGGAGGCAGCAGUGGGGAAUAUUGGACAAUGGGCGAAAG
Molecule: ribosomal RNA, 284 nt
Filed under: Pseudomonas sp.
Lineage: Bacteria; Pseudomonadati; Pseudomonadota; Gammaproteobacteria; Pseudomonadales; Pseudomonadaceae
Description: partial 16S ribosomal RNA
Rfam family: Bacterial small subunit ribosomal RNA
Source: RNAcentral